Molecule: ribosomal RNA, 449 nt
Filed under: uncultured bacterium
Lineage: Bacteria
Description: bacterial SSU rRNA
Rfam family: Bacterial small subunit ribosomal RNA
Source: RNAcentral
GAUGAACGCUAGCGGCAGGCCUAACACAUGCAAGUCGAGGGAGAAGCCCUUCGGGGCAGAAACCGGCGCACGUGUGCGUAACGCGUAUGCAACCUACCUUUCACAGGGGGAUAGCCCGAAGAAAUUUGGAUUAAUACCCCAUAAUAUUAUUGGAUGGCAUCAUUUGAUAAUUAAAACUGAGGUGGUGAAAGAUGGGCAUGCGUCCUAUUAGCUAGUUGGAGUGGUAACGGCACCCCAAGGCUACGAUAGGUAGGGGUCCUGAGAGGGAGAUCCCCCACACUGGUACUGAGACAGGGACCAGACUCCUACGGGAGGCAGCAGUGAGGAAUAUUGGUCAAUGGUCGGAAGACUGAACCAGCCAUGCCGCGUGCAGGAAGAAUGCCUUAUGGGUUGUAAACUGCUUUUAUAUGGGAAGAAUAAGGAGUACGUGUACUUNGANGACGNUNCCA